RNAcentral lists this unclassified non-coding RNA (4574 nucleotides) under Nilaparvata lugens (brown planthopper). RNAcentral's name for it is "activin receptor type-2A, transcript variant X2". The record is from RNAcentral. Lineage: Eukaryota; Metazoa; Arthropoda; Insecta; Hemiptera; Delphacidae.
AAAAAUAAGCUUCGCCAUGUUAUUUUGUCUAGAUAUCAGAUUAGAGAUGUUUAUUUGUGAUCAUUGAAGUUGACAUUUGCAACGAAAAGUUACGUACUAGUGUUUCAACAAUGAGUGUGCAUUGAAUAAUAUUAUUUAGUAUCUUAUCUAUAAAUUAUUAAUUGUUGAUUGAAUCGCAGUGACUUCGUUUCAUUCUGUGAUUUUUGGGAAUUUAUUCACAUGGGGUUUCAAGAGCGUAGUUUCGACAGCUUUUUGGUACCCGUUGUUAGGAUACGACAUGGCACAUAAGAAAAGAGCCUUUCCAUCUACCUCAUCACUCAUCCGAGUGACACAGUAAAUAUAAUAUAUUUACUAUUCUGAUGACUAUAUAAUUGACGUCUGGUUAAUUAUGCAGAAAUUUGACUAAAUGACUUCGACUACUGAAAAUAAAACUGCGAAGAAAGGUUGUACUGCUGAACUCUCGUUCACCAUGGCAGUCUUUUCGUGGCAUAAAGAAUUAGUUCCUCUGUGCAAGUGGCUCACAUUAUGCUUCAUUCUCGCCAUAUGCUUGUUACAUUCGACGAGUGGCAGUGCGAUAGUGGUGACGACUCGCUGUGAGUUCUACAACUACACGCAGUGUGGCGAAACUGGCAACCCUGACAGCUGCAACGGCACCGAGGAGUGUCCCUCGUCCGAGCCCGACAAGCGCAGUCAGUGCUACGUCGUCUGGCAGAACAACAGCCACGGAAAACCAUACAUCUACAUGAAAGGAUGCUUUCUGAACAACAUGGAGUGCUACAAUCAGCCGAAGUGCGUGCACAAGAGAGGAGAAUCAAAGCACAACUUCUUGUUCUGCUGCUGCGAAGGUGACAUGUGCAACAAAGACUUCACUUUCGCACCCGUGCCAAGUCAAGCACCAACGCAACACUCUAAAACGCCAAUGGAUCACAAAAAUGAUCAGCUGAUGAACACUCUUCUGUACUCGUUGAUACCGGUCAUAGCAUUGAUGGUUGCUAUUGCAAUAUUCUACUGGGUUUAUCGCCAACGAAAGAUUGCUUAUUUCCAUGAGGUACCGACUAUGGAUCCUCACCAGCUGUCAGUACCUUCGCCAUUGCUGGGCCUGCGACCAAUUCAGCUGAUUGAGAUAAAGGCAAGAGGCCGUUUUGGUUCGGUGUGGAAGGCCCAGUACAAGUCGGAUACGGUUGCCGUUAAAAUUUUUCCAAUUCAGGAUAAGCAGUCUUGGCUGGCCGAACAGGAGAUCUUCAAGCUGCCGCACAUGGACCACGAGAACAUUCUGCGCUACGUGGGAGUGGAGAAGCGAGGCGACAACCUGCAGGCCGAGUUCUGGCUGAUCACCGCCUACCACGAGAAGGGCUCCCUCUGCGACUUCCUCAAGGCCAACGUCCUAACCUGGGCCGAACUCUGUCAUGUCGCCGAGACUAUGGCUAGGGGCCUGAUGCACCUGCACGAAGAGCUGCCGGCGAACAAGGCUGACGGCUACAAGCCAGCGAUCGCGCACCGCGACUUCAAGUCGAAGAAUGUGCUGCUGAAGGCCGACCUGUCCGCCUGCAUCGCCGACUUUGGCCUGGCACUCGUCUUUCAGCCCGGCAAGCCCUGCGGCGACACUCACGGACAGGUUGGAACUCGGAGAUAUAUGGCUCCUGAAGUGCUGGAAGGAGCAAUCAAUUUCUCGAGAGAUGCUUUCCUGCGUAUCGACGUCUAUGCCUGUGGUCUCGUUCUCUGGGAGUUGGCAUCCAGGUGCACAGCCCAGGAAGGGCCGAUAUCAGAAUAUCAACUCCCUUUUGAAGAGGAGGUUGGCCAGCACCCUAUACUGGAGGACAUGCAGGAGGCAGUAGUGCACAAGAAGCUGCGGCCUGCUAUCAAAGAGACCUGGAAAAGACAUUCGGGUCUGACGGCGCUGGCGGACACGAUGGAGGAGUGCUGGGACCAUGACGCGGAGGCGCGGCUGUCCGCCUCCUGUGUGAUGGAGCGCAUCGCCUGGCAGUCGCGACUGCUGCUCCCGCACAUGCAUCCGCUACUGCUCAACGAAUCGCCCAUAUAGAGACGGCUUUCUGUCGGCAGACAUGAAACUGCACUGGACAUCAGCGGAUGCUAUUCUCUCGAAUAUUCCCUGUUGUAAUAUGAACUUCACUCAAAACAGAUGAAUUUAAAGUUCAAAAGUUUGUGCCAAAAAUUUGCAGAAGACAUUUUGUUCAACUUCUACUGCUUGGAGUAAUACUGCAUCAAUUAUUAGUUGGCGGAACUGUUUGGUUGUAUCGUUACUGGUAGAGUACGGUACGCUAUUGUCAGUGAAGUUCAUUUAAGUUGGCAUGAAGAUUUCUCUUGGCUAUGAGAUUCAGGACCUGCAACUCUCCAACAAUGGAUCGUAAAGAUGAAUGCUCACAGUAGAUUUGUAGAGCUUUGUUUUCUCUUCAAUUUGAUGUUUUAUUCCACUACUUAAUAUUUUCCUUCUAUUGUUGUAGCAGAUUCAAUGUGGGGGGUGAAAUUUUUAACUCUGCAACAAUAGUGUCAACUUAGCUGUUCCACACCUUCAAUAGACGUGCUAGAGAUGCGUAUUUUGGCUAUGUUUACCUCCCAACUAGUCUUCAUUAAGCUACAGAGUCAAAAAUUGUGUACCAGAUGUUCCAGACUCAAAUUUCAUUGUCAAGUGAUCAAUUGUUACAAAAUUAAAAUUUCACACCCCACAUUGAAUCUGCUACAACUCAAACUCAGUUUCAAUAAAAACAACAACAAAAAAUAAAGUCACGUCAGAGACCCUGAAAUUAAUCAGGUACCGGUAGCCUAUGAAAAGUUCAAACGUGAAGAACAGGAGACCUGUGCCGGCUAAUCCAUAUUUUAUAAUUUGUAUUCCAUUUGGAAAUACAGAAACACUUGAAGCCGUGUUUUAACAUGAGUUACUGAUUUAUAUAACUAUGGAUCUUGUCAAGGCUGUAGUAAAAAUUUCAAUAAUUUAUGUUUUGUACCUCGUGGUUCAAAAUAUUUGCAUGGCAUUGAUAGGUUUUCCACAACUCCCUGGUGCAAUAUCUGUAUACUGUUCUCACUAUCGAUUAGUGGCAAUGGCGUGAUAAUUUUCUCAAAUCAACAAGAAAGUUCUACACAAUCAUCAGAAAAAUAUUAAUUUCCAAAAGCACCCGUCAUUUAAACUAUUAUAAGAGAAAGAACAUGCUAACCGCCAACUAUUUCUCUUCCACAUAAUAAAUAUUGCAUUAUACUUGUUUUACAACUGCCGGGAAUCGAGAAAAAUUAUAAAAUCAAUUAUAUAGGCAACUACAAAAAAAACAAUUUUUUCAUUCUAAUCCAAUUAUUAAAAGAAAUAUAAUUAAUUAUUGAACACAAUAAGAAUAUUGAGAGAAUUUAUUUAACUUGAACAAAAAUGCAUUCUAUUAAUUAGGAUCAAUGAUAGUGUUCAAGUGUGCAAGCAAUUGUUAUAGAAAGUUUCGUUAAAAGUAUUUUUCAUUUUAUUAGACCUAUUGCUAUUUUGGCUACCCACCUAAUUAUUAAUAGUACUUCUUUCAUUUUUUUUUUGUUAAUAGUGAAAGAAUCGUAGAAGACGAGAACUUGAUUUAAUUUUCAAAAUGUUCAGUUCACUAAAAACUCCAGGAAGUCAAUCUAAUACACUUGCAUUUUUUGCCUGAAGAGAAUAUAUAUCAUAAUCGGUCAUCUUGAGGGGGAUUGAACUAGAAUUAAGGUCAAGACAGUGGAAAACGUUGGACUAAAAACUGUGUUCGUCAAAUUAAAGUCAUUUAAAAAUCACUGUAAGCCAAUCAAGUCAUCUAAUCUGAAUUAAGUAAGCCAUCUUGACCACUAUUGAAUAAUAUGAUAAUGAGACUGAAUUUAUUAAUUAGGUGUUAGUAUUUUUUGAGAUAACGAAGAAAAUAUACCUUAUUAUUCAACAUUCAGGACUUACAGUUUGUGAGACUUCUUUACCACUGAAGCUUGACAGUGAUCACAAUAAAAUAGCAAAUAUAUUUUCAAAUGUACAAUUGAUCCAAUUUUAAUUGAAUUUGAAUUUGAGGAAAUUACUUACGUCCAAGGGAAAUUGUAUUCCACAAGAUCGUCUAGGAUGAAACGUUCGUUGAGCACUGGUUAUACGCAGCGAAUAGAAGUCACAGACUGAGACGAUAAUCUGGUAAAACGCCAAAGGCUAUAAAUACUAAAUGGUAGCAAUUUAGAGUUUCAUGUACUGCACUAAACACGAGCGAUUAUUGUGUUUGCGUCCGCCGCACUCCUUUUAGCCAGAAAGACCUGCGUUUUUAUUUCCCAUACUCGUCGGAUGUGAGCUUUUCCAGUCUUUCUUUCUGUAGCUGCGAUCUUCUUAGCUAAGACAACGCCAGCUACAUUCGCGAGUUGAAACAGAACUGAGGCUUCAACUGCAGACUGGAAGGCUGAAAUAGACCAUCUCCACCUCUUUUCCAAUCUGUUCACAGCCCAGAAUAGACCCCAGGGGCAAAGGCCUAGCAGCUUUUGCCUCAUUCACUCACUCACUCCAACCAACGCGCAUCUUAGGUCACUGACAAAAUGUUCAAUUUGCUCCAAUGUAGACUGCAAUUUGUCAGAACUCAUCAGGAAAUAAA